CUGCCUCUCAGUACCAUAGUUUCUCCGUACCAUGCCCUUCGUCAGUCUUCAUGAUCACUGUGGUCCUGCCCUCAUCCUAAUUUUUCCCACUCGGGUGUACCACACGCCCAUAAACCGCGAGUUUCGUGGCCACUUUAAAUUGAACCCCCCUUAUGUCGGUGCUUUGAGUCAUUAACCAGGGGUAUCCAAUCACCCAACGCAAAAACAAGUUAGUUGGACCAAUAGAGAGCCCACACGUCAUGACAUUGAUGGACUCGACCUCAUCUAAUCACCAGCUCUUAAUUGG
Molecule: unclassified non-coding RNA, 286 nt
Filed under: Hevea brasiliensis (rubber tree)
Lineage: Eukaryota; Viridiplantae; Streptophyta; Magnoliopsida; Malpighiales; Euphorbiaceae
Source: RNAcentral